GGUUAUAUCACUUUGAAACACUAGUUCCUGUAUGAUCACUGAAGUCAAGCAAUGUUGAGCCUGGUCAGUAUCUAGAUGGGUAACUGCUUGGGAAUACCGGGUAAUGUAA
This is a non-coding RNA of Acanthosepion pharaonis, 109 nucleotides long. The record is from the annotation of a GenBank genome assembly. NCBI's taxonomy places the organism in Eukaryota, Metazoa, Mollusca, Cephalopoda, Sepiida, Sepiidae.